Molecule: long non-coding RNA, 326 nt
Filed under: Mytilus galloprovincialis (Mediterranean mussel)
Lineage: Eukaryota; Metazoa; Mollusca; Bivalvia; Mytilida; Mytilidae
Source: RNAcentral
GGCGUUUAAUCUUACAUAAAUUUUAUUUCUUAAUCAAGUGUCAAUAGAAUAAAUCUAUUGUUACGGAUAACAGUGGAUUUUGACGGCCGGGGGGAGGGGGUGGUUUCUUAUCCCGACACACUGUAUUUUUGACAUUGAGAUUGUCCGCCAGUUUAUGACAUAAUUUGUUAGAUUGAUUUGCCAAAGAUGAUUAAAUGAUUUGUUGAUAUAACCCCAAUGGUAUCUUCUAAAAUGCAUAUUUAAAGAAUGAUCGACCUCAAGCAAAUAAUUUUGCUCAAACCAGUGAUAGAGGUCGUCAUGAACCUGCAGUGAGGCUGAUUUGUUUU